GCCAUUGUGGUAUAGUGGUUUCAGUGCUGACCUAGCACUCAGGAGGACUGGGGUUCAAAUUCCUACUAGGGCA
Non-coding RNA from Phrynosoma platyrhinos (Desert horned lizard), 73 nucleotides. The record is from the annotation of a GenBank genome assembly. NCBI's taxonomy places the organism in Eukaryota, Metazoa, Chordata, Lepidosauria, Squamata, Phrynosomatidae.